RNAcentral lists this ribosomal RNA (460 nucleotides) under uncultured bacterium. Its description in RNAcentral is "bacterial SSU rRNA". It matches the Rfam family "Bacterial small subunit ribosomal RNA", at positions 338 to 795 of the family's 1533-position model. The record is from RNAcentral.
CCUANGGGGGGCUGCAGUAAGGAAUAUUGCGCAAUGGGCGAAAGCCUGACGCAGCGACGCCGCGUGAAGGAAGACGGCGCUAUGCGUUGUAAACUUCUUUUCCAGAGGAAUAAAAUUUUGUACGAGUACGGAACUGAAGGUACUCUGGGAAUAAGCAUCGGCUAACUCCGUGCCAGCAGCCGCGGUAAUACGGAGGAUGCGAGCGUUAUCCGGAUUUAUUGGGUUUAAAGGGUGCGUAGGCGGAUUAAUAAGUCAGUGGUGAAAACCUUCAGCUUAACUGGAGAACUGCCAUUGAUACUGUUAGUCUUGAGUACGGUCAAGGUAGGCGGAAUGUGUAAUGUAGCGGUGAAAUGCUUAGAUAUUACACAGAACACCGAUUGCGAAGGCAGCUUACUGGGCCAUUACUGACGCUGAUGCACGAAAGCGUGGGGAGCGAACAGGAUUAGAUACCCUUNUANUC